This 253-nucleotide ribosomal RNA is filed under the name uncultured bacterium. Its description in RNAcentral is "partial 16S ribosomal RNA". It matches the Rfam family "Bacterial small subunit ribosomal RNA", at positions 524 to 776 of the family's 1533-position model. The record is from RNAcentral.
UACGUAGGGUGCGAGCGUUAAUCGGAAUUACUGGGCGUAAAGCGUGCGCAGGCGGUCUGUUAAGACCGAUGUGAAAUCCCCGGGCUUAACCUGGGAAUUGCAUUUGUGACUGCACGGCUAGAGUGUGUCAGAGGGGGGUAGAAUUCCACGUGUAGCAGUGAAAUGCGUAGAUAUGUGGAGGAAUACCGAUGGCGAAGGCAGCCCCCUGGGAUAACACUGACGCUCAUGCACGAAAGCGUGGGGAGCAAACAGG